RNAcentral lists this ribosomal RNA (460 nucleotides) under uncultured bacterium. Its description in RNAcentral is "partial 16S ribosomal RNA". It matches the Rfam family "Bacterial small subunit ribosomal RNA", at positions 338 to 795 of the family's 1533-position model. The record is from RNAcentral.
CCUACGGGCGGCAGCAGUGAGGAAUAUUGGUCAAUGGACGCAAGCCUGAACCAGCCAUGCCGCGUGCAGGAAGACGGCUCUAGGAGUUGUAAACUGCUUUUGUACGGGGGUAAACGCAGAUACGCGUAUCUGUCUGAAAGUAUCGUACGAAUAAGGAUCGGCUAACUCCGUGCCAGCAGCCGCGGUAAUACGGAGGAUUCAAGCGUUAUCCGGAUUUAUUGGGUUUAAAGGGUGCGUAGGCGGGCGGAUAAGUUAGAGGUGAAAACCCGGGGCUCAACUUCGGAAUUGCCUGUGAUACUGUUCGGCUAGAGAGUAGUAGAGGUAGGCGGAAUGUAUGGUGUAGCGGUGAAAUGCUUAGAGAUCAGAAAGAACACCAGUUGCGAAGGCAGCUUGCCAGGCUACUACUGACGUUGAGGCACGAAAGCGUGGGGAGCAAACAGGAUUAGAUACCCCUGUAAUC